AUACACAAUCAACAACGAAACGAGAGCACAAACAGUGCUACAACCAACUAGAGCAAGCGAUACAAGUAAAAUCAUACAAGUAUACAAAAGAGAGAAACUUAGCUAAUCGAGUCAUCAUUGAAACAUUAAACCUCUUUCAAUAUCAUUUACAGUUCAACCAUUUAAUACAACUUGCAUUCUUUCCCCAAAAUGAAAAUACAUCAUAUGCUCUCCAAAAUCUCACCCUAUACAUCAUCUACUCUCAAGCAUAACCAAAAAUAUAGGGUAUAGAGCUAAUGCAAGUAGGUAAAGUAGGCUAUCUACCAAAAGCUAGGGCGCUAUGCCCUUACCGCGAUCCAUCGAUGACGGCCCACUGACCUGUGUACCUGUACCCCCAAAACCACACGGGGGUGAGAACUACGAAUAGUUCCCAGUGGGUUCGGCCGCCGACUCCGCCGAUCUACCCACUAGGUCUAAAGCAGGCAUAGAGAGAUAUAUAUAUGCAGUAUAUAUAAAACUGAGCUGAACGGAAAGCAGGUAUGUAAACAACUAUAUCAAGCUAUGCCUUAAUCUGGAAUCAUGAAUGCAUGAACAAUAAAUAAAGCUGGGUAAGUAAGCAACUAUCAACAUCUACAACAGCUAGCAUAGUAAGCUAUAAACAUGCUACUAGGUAAGCAAACAAGCUGAAAUGAACAAUGAACAGCUACUAUGACAUCAAUCAUGGGUAAGACUCAAUGGGUAACCCAAUCUCCAAGCGAACACAAGGUUCACGAGCAAGGCUCACAUAUCAAUCUCCGAGGGAUGCCUAGCUGGUCGAUCCCCGAGUACGCCUGCGGAUAACAAGCGGCUAUCCGAGCAGCGAGCAGGGCUGCCUCUCUAGUGACCAAACUCCGGAGCGCACAACUUGAGGGGAGCGACCCCACCAAGCGCAGACAGGCAAUGUGAGCAAGAUCAUCUCACGAGCAACANN
Molecule: long non-coding RNA, 949 nt
Filed under: Ananas comosus (pineapple)
Lineage: Eukaryota; Viridiplantae; Streptophyta; Magnoliopsida; Poales; Bromeliaceae
Description: long non-coding RNA (ACOM_LNC043338)
Source: RNAcentral